GAUGAACGCUGGCGGCGUGCCUAAUACAUGCAAGUCGAGCGAACAGACGAGGAGCUUGCUCCUCUGACGUUAGCGGCGGACGGGUGAGUAGCACGUGGAUAACCUACCUAUAAGACUGGGAUAACCUCGGGAAACCGGAGCUAAUACCGGAUAAUAUAUUGAACCGCAUGGUUCAAUAGUGAAAGACGGUUUUGCUGUCACUUAUAGAUGGAUCCGCGCCGCAUUAGCUAGUUGGUAAGGUAACGGCUUACCAAGGCAACGAUGCGUAGCCGACCUGAGAGGGUGAUCGGCCACACUGGAACUGAGACACGGUCCAGACUCCUACGGGAGGCAGCAGUAGGGAAUCUUCCGCAAUGGGCGAAAGCCUGACGGAGCAACGCCGCGUGAGUGAUGAAGGUCUUCGGAUCGUAAAACUCUGUUAUUAGGGAAGAACAAAUGUGUAAGUAACUAUGCACGUCUUGACGGUACCUAAUCAGAAAGCCACGGCUAACUACGUG
RNAcentral lists this ribosomal RNA (497 nucleotides) under uncultured bacterium. Its description in RNAcentral is "partial 16S ribosomal RNA". It matches the Rfam family "Bacterial small subunit ribosomal RNA", at positions 28 to 507 of the family's 1533-position model. The record is from RNAcentral.